CGCACAUGAAAGUAAAGUAAAAAUUGUAUGAAUAGAAAUACAGAUAACCAAAAUAUAAGUUUUGAUCGGCAAUGACACGUGGGCUCCAAUUGACCAAGAGGAUGUAAGACUGUGAACUCUUACUUUGUAUAAUGCAGUUCCGAGCUUAGUUCUCGUCCUACUCGACUAUCUACAAACUGUCCUGAGCCUGAAAAAUGUAUAGGAAGAAGGGGUGAGAUUUUAUAAUCCCAGUGAGUAAACAGAUACCAUCAAAAGUAUCUAAAGCCGAGUAAAUGGAGACAAUUAAAAC
Molecule: long non-coding RNA, 289 nt
Filed under: Theobroma cacao (cacao)
Lineage: Eukaryota; Viridiplantae; Streptophyta; Magnoliopsida; Malvales; Malvaceae
Description: long non-coding RNA (TCAC_LNC005971)
Source: RNAcentral